CAUUAAGUGACUGAAAGUAAGUAUUGGUCUCUUAAACCAAGGAAUAGCAAAUAACAUAUGCUCUUAGUGG
Molecule: transfer RNA, 70 nt
Filed under: Tettigades lacertosa
Lineage: Eukaryota; Metazoa; Arthropoda; Insecta; Hemiptera; Cicadidae
Description: tRNA-Lys
Source: RNAcentral